RNAcentral lists this ribosomal RNA (2263 nucleotides) under Salmonella enterica subsp. enterica serovar Hadar. RNAcentral describes it as "partial 23S ribosomal RNA". It matches the Rfam family "Bacterial large subunit ribosomal RNA", at positions 696 to 2925 of the family's 2925-position model. The record is from RNAcentral. Lineage: Bacteria; Pseudomonadati; Pseudomonadota; Gammaproteobacteria; Enterobacterales; Enterobacteriaceae.
UAAGUUGCAGGGUAUAGACCCGAAACCCGGUGAUCUAGCCAUGGGCAGGUUGAAGGUUGGGUAACACUAACUGGAGGACCGAACCGACUAAUGUUGAAAAAUUAGCGGAUGACCUGUGGCUGGGGGUGAAAGGCCAAUCAAACCGGGAGAUAGCUGGUUCUCCCCGAAAGCUAUUUAGGUAGCGCCUCGUGAAUUCAUCUCCGGGGGUAGAGCACUGUUUCGGCUAGGGGGCCAUCCCGGCUUACCAACCCGAUGCAAACUGCGAAUACCGGAGAAUGUUAUCACGGGAGACACACGGCGGGUGCUAACGUCCGUCGUGAAGAGGGAAACAACCCAGACCGCCAGCUAAGGUCCCAAAGUCAUGGUUAAGUGGGAAACGAUGUGGGAAGGCCCAGACAGCCAGGAUGUUGGCUUAGAAGCAGCCAUCAUUUAAAGAAAGCGUAAUAGCUCACUGGUCGAGUCGGCCUGCGCGGAAGAUGUAACGGGGCUAAACCAUGCACCGAAGCUGCGGCAGCGACGCUUAUGCGUUGUUGGGUAGGGGAGCGUUCUGUAAGCCUGUGAAGGUGGCCUGUGAGGGUUGCUGGAGGUAUCAGAAGUGCGAAUGCUGACAUAAGUAACGAUAAAGCGGGUGAAAAGCCCGCUCGCCGGAAGACCAAGGGUUCCUGUCCAACGUUAAUCGGGGCAGGGUGAGUCGACCCCUAAGGCGAGGCCGAAAGGCGUAGUCGAUGGGAAACGGGUUAAUAUUCCCGUACUUGGUGUUACUGCGAAGGGGGGACGGAGAAGGCUAUGUUGGCCGGGCGACGGUUGUCCCGGUUUAAGCGUGUAGGCUGGUUUUCCAGGCAAAUCCGGAAAAUCAAGGCUGAGGCGUGACGACGAGGCACUACGGUGCUGAAGCAACAAAUGCCCUGCUUCCAGGAAAAGCCUCUAAGCAUCAGGUAACAUCAAAUCGUACCCCAAACCGACACAGGUGGUCAGGUAGAGAAUACCAAGGCGCUUGAGAGAACUCGGGUGAAGGAACUAGGCAAAAUGGUGCCGUAACUUCGGGAGAAGGCACGCUGACACGUAGGUGAAGUGAUUUACUCAUGGAGCUGAAGUCAGUCGAAGAUACCAGCUGGCUGCAACUGUUUAUUAAAAACACAGCACUGUGCAAACACGAAAGUGGACGUAUACGGUGUGACGCCUGCCCGGUGCCGGAAGGUUAAUUGAUGGGGUCAGCGCAAGCGAAGCUCCUGAUCGAAGCCCCGGUAAACGGCGGCCGUAACUAUAACGGUCCUAAGGUAGCGAAAUUCCUUGUCGGGUAAGUUCCGACCUGCACGAAUGGCGUAAUGAUGGCCAGGCUGUCUCCACCCGAGACUCAGUGAAAUUGAACUCGCUGUGAAGAUGCAGUGUACCCGCGGCAAGACGGAAAGACCCCGUGAACCUUUACUAUAGCUUGACACUGAACAUUGAGCCUUGAUGUGUAGGAUAGGUGGGAGGCUUUGAAGUGUGGACGCCAGUCUGCAUGGAGCCGACCUUGAAAUACCACCCUUUAAUGUUUGAUGUUCUAACGUGGACCCGUUACCCGGGUUGCGGACAGUGUCUGGUGGGUAGUUUGACUGGGGCGGUCUCCUCCUAAAGAGUAACGGAGGAGCACGAAGGUUGGCUAAUCCUGGUCGGACAUCAGGAGGUUAGUGCAAUGGCAUAAGCCAGCUUGACUGCGAGCGUGACGGCGCGAGCAGGUGCGAAAGCAGGUCAUAGUGAUCCGGUGGUUCUGAAUGGAAGGGCCAUCGCUCAACGGAUAAAAGGUACUCCGGGGAUAACAGGCUGAUACCGCCCAAGAGUUCAUAUCGACGGCGGUGUUUGGCACCUCGAUGUCGGCUCAUCACAUCCUGGGGCUGAAGUAGGUCCCAAGGGUAUGGCUGUUCGCCAUUUAAAGUGGUACGCGAGCUGGGUUUAGAACGUCGUGAGACAGUUCGGUCCCUAUCUGCCGUGGGCGCUGGAGAACUGAGGGGGGCUGCUCCUAGUACGAGAGGACCGGAGUGGACGCAUCACUGGUGUUCGGGUUGUCAUGCCAAUGGCACUGCCCGGUAGCUAAAUGCGGAAGAGAUAAGUGCUGAAAGCAUCUAAGCACGAAACUUGCCCCGAGAUGAGUUCUCCCUGAGACUUAGAGUCUCCUGAAGGAACGUUGAAGACGACGACGUUGAUAGGCCGGGUGUGUAAGCGCAGCGAUGCGUUGAGCUAACCGGUACUAAUGAACCGUGAGGCUUAACCUUACAACGCCGAA